UACGUAGGCAGCGAGCGUUGUUCGGAGUUACUGGGCGUAAAGAGUGCGUAGGCGGUUUUCUAAGUUUGGUGUGAAAUCUCCUCGCUCAACGGGGAGAGGCCAUUGGAAACGGUCGAGCUGGAGGGCAGUAGAGGUAGGCGGAAUUCCGGGUGGAGUGGUGAAAUGCGUAGAGAUCCGGAGGAACACCAGAGGCGAAGGCGGCUCACUGGCCCGGUACUGACGCUGAGGUGCGAAAGCGUGGGGAGCAAACAGG
Molecule: ribosomal RNA, 253 nt
Filed under: uncultured bacterium
Lineage: Bacteria
Description: partial 16S ribosomal RNA
Rfam family: Bacterial small subunit ribosomal RNA
Source: RNAcentral